RNAcentral lists this ribosomal RNA (253 nucleotides) under uncultured bacterium. RNAcentral's name for it is "partial 16S ribosomal RNA". It matches the Rfam family "Bacterial small subunit ribosomal RNA", at positions 524 to 776 of the family's 1533-position model. The record is from RNAcentral.
UACGUAGGGGGCGAGCGUUGUCCGGAAUCAUUGGGCGUAAAGCGCGUGUAGGCGGUCCGGUAAGUCCGCUGUGAAAGUCGGGGGCUCAACCCUCGGAUGCCGGUGGAUACUGUCGGGCUUGAGUACGGAAGAGGCGAGUGGAAUUCCUGGUGUAGCGGUGAAAUGCGCAGAUAUCAGGAGGAACACCGAUUGCGAAGGCAGCUCGCUGGGACGUUACUGACGCUGAGACGUGAAAGCGUGGGGAGCAAACAGG